This 206-nucleotide ribosomal RNA is filed under the name uncultured bacterium. RNAcentral describes it as "partial 16S ribosomal RNA". It matches the Rfam family "Bacterial small subunit ribosomal RNA", at positions 568 to 774 of the family's 1533-position model. The record is from RNAcentral.
AGCGUAGGCGGUUUUGCAAGUCAGAAGUGAAAGGCUACGGCUCAACCGUAGUAAGCUUUUGAAACUGCAAGACUAGAGUGCAGGAGAGGCAAGUGGAAUUCCUAGUGUAGAGGUGAAGUUCGUAGAUAUUAGGAGGAACACCAGUGGCGAAGGCGACUUGCUGGACUGUAACUGACGCUGAUGCUCGAAAGCGUGGGGAGCGAACA